GAUGAACGCUGCGGCGUGCCUAAUACAUGCAAGUAGAACGCUGAAGCUUGGUGCUUGCACCGAGCGGAUGAGUUGCGAACGGGUGAGUAACGCGUAGGUAACCUGCCUCUUAGCGGGGGAUAACUAUAGGAAACGAUAGCUAAUACCGCAUAAAAGUCAUAUCGCAGAAGUUGACUUGAAAGGUGCAAUUGCAUCACUAAGAGAUGGACCUGCGUUGUAUUAGCUAGUUGGUGAGGUAACGGCUCACCAAGGCGACGAUACAUAGCCGACCUGAGAGGGUGAUCGGCCACACUGGGACUGAGACACGGCCCAGACUCCUACGGGAGGCAGCAGUAGGGAAUCUUCGGCAAUGGGGGCAACCCUGACCGAGCAACGCCGCGUGAGUGAAGAAGGUUUUCGGAUCGUAAAGCUCUGUUGUAAGAGAAGAACGAGUGUGAGAGUGGAAAGUUCACACUGUGACGGUAACUUACCAGAAAGGGACGGCU
RNAcentral lists this ribosomal RNA (485 nucleotides) under Streptococcus parasanguinis. RNAcentral describes it as "bacterial SSU rRNA". It matches the Rfam family "Bacterial small subunit ribosomal RNA", at positions 28 to 498 of the family's 1533-position model. The record is from RNAcentral. Lineage: Bacteria; Bacillati; Bacillota; Bacilli; Lactobacillales; Streptococcaceae.